This 7916-nucleotide long non-coding RNA is filed under the name Lynx pardinus (Iberian lynx). Lineage: Eukaryota; Metazoa; Chordata; Mammalia; Carnivora; Felidae. The record is from RNAcentral.
AGAAGCUGCAGAGAACAUCAUCCUGUGCAGUAAGAAAUGCCUAAAGGCAAGCCUUUCUUCUCCCAUUUCUAGUCUUUUCCCUUUUCUGGAAAAUUCUGACUUUUCUAAGGUCAAGAAAAAAAAUUUAACUCCUGGUGUCUCACUCACACCUGCUUUAUAACUGAGGAGGUUGGUCCUAAUAUUACUUUUUUUUCUUUCUAUACUUCUUUCCACUUAAAAAAAAUCAUUUAUUUUGAGAGAGCGAGAGCAGGGAAGGGGCAGAAAGAGAGGGAGAGAGAGAAUCUCAAGCAGGCUGUCAGCACAGAGCCUGAUGCAGAGCUUAAUCUCAUGAACUGUAAGAUCAUGACCUGAACUGAAAUCAAGAGCAGGACGUUUAACUGAGUGAGCUGCCCAGGCGCCCCAGUAUUUCUUUCAAUUUUAACCAUGUCGACUGAUUUGGGAUUUUUUUUAAUGUUUUGAUCUUAAUCAUAUGGAAAGCAGACACAGCAUCUGUACAGUGUACCGUAUAUUGUGUGAAUAUGUGACAAAUGUUUUCACAAGGUGAUUUAGUUUAGUUUAGUUUAGUUAUUUUUUUCUAAUGCAAGCAAUUAGAAAAGGACAGUGGCUACGUAUUGUUGGUUUAUUAGCUAAUAAAUGCCUGUCCAAAGCGUAUAGGCAUCACAUCUGAAGUUCAGUUUCAACAUGUUCAAGCAGGUGCAUGUGGGUUUGGAAACUCACACUCAUCAUAAAUUGUACUUGUCUUGAUAAAAAAAAUGUAGAUGUAGACCAAAGUAUGUGUCAACAAUGAAACUUCUACUUCUCUUGAAAUAAAUCUUUGAAAAAUAUUAACCUAAAAUUCAAGUGAAUAAUUCUGCACAUUUCUGGAGUAACAGCAUUAGAUAUUUUUGUGUAUUAAUUGGUCCUUAUGGCAAUGAAGGUGUUGACACUCUUACUUCAAAGUAAUCUAAUGCCUUGAAAAAGCAUGAUUUGUUCUUAUAUUAGAAAAUAAACUAAACUCUUCUCAAUAGUCUAUUUAGGUAUAUGUAGUUUCUUCUGCAGUCUAAACUUUGGGGACAUGAGUGGAUAAUUGUGAGAUUCCCUUCAAGUUCUUCAAUCUUUUCAUCUCGAACAAAAGGCUAUAUUCCUUCUUCAUCAUGAUAAUCAAUUAACUGUUACUACUAGAUGGAAGAAUCUCAGAUUAAUAAUAACAAAAAAGAGAUUAAUCAGAUUUAGUUCUGAAACAAUUUUAAUAGCAUAGGUAGACAAGCUAGGUGUGUGUUUAAAAUAUUUAGAUUCUAAUAAUCUGAAAUAAUAAUAAUGACAUAAUUAUUAUUAUUAAGGAGUAUAUGGUCAUAUAUUUCCAAUAUCUAUUUGAUGUGGUUGAAACAAACUCUAAGAUGAAAGCUGACAAUGUUCCAUUUCUUUGUUCUCCUCCCAAAACCUUCUUCAUUGACCACAGUUACUCAUCUGACACUCAUCUACCCUGGGUGUCCUGUAGAGACAUGUUUGAAAAUGUCUUUUACUUGAGGGACACAAAAUUUCACGAGCUAUAUGUUUUACACCCCUCUCCCUCUCUCUACUUUAUGAGUGGUAAAAUUACACUGCAUGCAUUGUUAUCCCAAGACUGCGAAAAAUACUUGUCUGUUAAAAUAAACAUUUUUUCUACACAGGUUUUUACCAAAGAGAAAUAACCUUUUAUUUCCAAGCUGGCUUGUUUUUUUGGGGGGGAGGAGAGAAUCUAAAUAUGAUGCAGAUACAAAUACAGAUAUGCUGAGUAACAAUAAAGAAGCAAUUCUCUGUUUGCUCACAUUUUUCUGUUGCAUCAUAUAUGUAUUAUACAUGCAUUUGUACUUCUUUACCAUUCACUGCUUUGAAGACUGAAAUGCUUGGCAUAAUUCAUAUUUUUUCAAAUAUCUAUCCCAAAAUAUACUUUAUAAAAAAUACAAAUGAGCUUUUAACACACUGCAGACAUUCUAAGAAAUAGUCUGGAACCUCACUAAGAAUAGUGUCAGAAUUUGAGAGGGAUUUGUUCUAGGCGUGACAUGAAAUGUAAAAAUUGAAUUUCUUGCACAAACUUAAAACCAAAACAUCGUAUAACCUCUCUGUGUUUUGGACCCAACACGUCUCUGUCUAUUUGGAUAAAAGCUAUUGGAUGCACAUUUUUUGGUGAACUGUCAACAGCAAAGCAUGAAAACAGAUGUGUUUCUGCUAUUUUCAUUAUUAGGGAAAUAAAAGCAGCUGUGCUGGACUUGUGUGCGAGGGAAGCGCUCAGUGAGGCCUCCACACUCUGGGGGUUGGAAAAUCUGGCAGUGUAGACCAGGAUUUACAUCAAGACUAUCUUCAAACAAUGCCAAUGGAGAUGAUUCCUGGGCAUUGUUUAGGGCUUCACUCCUUUCUGGACACAUUAGUUCAGUUUUUCUGGGAUCAAAGUUCUGUGUGGGAACAUUUGCUAAAGGUAGGUAAAAUUAUGAUGGCCUUCAUUUGCAUAAAAGCAGUAAGAAAGGUUAUGUCAGAACUGGACUUUCUCAGCAUUUGAGAUUCUAUCAUUUAAAAUAGUGAAGGUAGCGCAUCACAUUGAGGGGUGGCAAGUUCAAACCAAUGAUAGUGCUUCAGUAGAGUUCUGCUAAGACUAUCUGGUCAAGGAGCACCAAAUAGGCCUUUUUUAGACACAACACACACAGUGGGAAAGAAACCUAGCAUGUUUGGCGAAAGAAAAAUAAAGUAUAAAAACAGAGUUUUCUUUUAUGCACUAGCAGACCUGACAGUAACCAGAUGGUAGUUUUUUUUGCACUGGUGGUUUAGUGCAGAAGGGCUAUUUUUGGUCCACUUUGGAAAAUUUGUCACAAAAGUUCAUUUGUCUCAAACUUUCUCUUCUUUCUGUAGGAGUCUGGUGUUUGUGUUUGUAUGUGUGUGUCUGUGCAUGUGUGCAUGUGCGUGUGUAUGUGUGUGUGUGUGUGUGUGGUGAGGGGGACUUAUUUAUGCAGUUAUGUACUAUUUUGCCUUUAUAGACAGAAGUUAUUCCUUGGCAAAGAGAAAGAGACAAAAUGUGAGAAUGAUAAAAUUGGGUUUCUCUGCGUUGAUCUGAAGUUUGAACUGAUGCUAUAUUGGUGAUCAUGGGAAGAAAAGAAUAGAAGACACUGAUAAAAAAGAAUAAUGAUAUUUAACUCUAUACAUUUUCUAAGCACUGUGCUCACUGAUAGUAUCAUGAGAAAUUUUCUCAAGGACAGGAAUCAAAUCAAGAAUGGAAAUUACUUAAAGGGGCAUAGAUACUAAGACAAAUCACUAAAUUCAAGAAAGGAUACCCUGUACCUUAACAUAAAAUAUUAGGGUUUUUUUUUAGGUAACUAUAUGGGAGCAGUUCAGUGCUGUAGCCUUAGACUCUCCAAAUUAUAGAAGUAGGUGCAGGCGUUUCUAAUAAGAAAUGAAAUUCCAUAGCAUCUUAGCAUUCAUUGUCACAGCCUGCCUGAAUGCCAGAAUCCCCAGAACUUCUUGAUUUGUCCCCUAUCUCGUUAUAGAUCUCAAAAGACUCAAAUUUUGCAAUACUUAAAAAAAAAAAGAAUGGGGAAAAAGAAUAUUUAGGUACGGGUUCUAAAAAGCUUUGGCGUAAACUCAGACUCCUGCCCACACAGCAAUUGUGGAGGGUUACGCAGAGUCUUUCUUUCCCAGGUGAAAUAUUUUUGAUUCUGCAAGUUCAGCUCACAUGUUUAUUUUUAUUCUCAUAACAUUCUCUCUCUUUCUCUCUUUUGUUCCCUCUCUUUUCCCUUUUAUUUCUGGCUUUCAAAUAGUAUCACUACUGGCUUAUAAUUGACUAAGCUCAGAUAAACUCAGUGAGAAAAUGGGUUAAGCUAGGGCAUCUGAAUGGCUCAGUUGGUUAAGUGUCGGACUCUUGAUUUUGGCUCAAGUCAUGAUCUCAGGUUUGUGAGUUCGAGCUGAGCAGGGAGCCUGCUUGAAAUUCUCUCUCUGCCCCUGCCCCGCUCAUGCUUGCUCACUUUCGCGUUCUCUCUCUCUCUCUCCCUCAAAAUAAAUAAAUGUUAAAAAAAGAAAAAAGAAAAUGGGCUAAGCAUUACAAUCACGGAAUGGUUAUUAGGAAUGCCAGUAUAAAUGUGCUGGACGCUUGAUCAGUUAUCAAAGAAGUGUUAUUUGAAAAUUAGCACAACUUUGGUCAAAUUCUAUUGAUUUUUAAAGCCCAGUUUUCAAAUAUAACUAUGUCCAGGUUGCCCUACUGAGUAUUCUGGACUGAUCAUAGAUUAAAUGGAAACUCAGGGACCUCCACUCUAUAAGAGCAGGAGGUAAUGGCAGAUGCCAAGGGAGGAAAAGUGGGUUCUGCUUCCUCCAAGUAGCACCUCCUAGAGAUGUAAGUGACAGCACCCUGACACUCAUAGUAGGGCCUGCUGGGAUCAACUUGUAAGUUUUUGUCUUGCUCACUCUCUUACAUUCCUGUGUGUUACAGGAUGUUUAAACCUCAUGUCUUUGGGCUUGAUCCAAAUGGGGUGUAAGUUCAGAGACUGUGAAGAGGGCAGCAGACCCCAAGCCAUGUCCACUCACAACUCAUACUCGGCAGCAAGACUGAGCCCAUAAGUGUGAAUUCCUUCACCUUCCUUUUCCCCACAAUUCUCAUAUAUUGACUUGAUGCAUGCCUGCCAGUCUCAGGGGAUGAGACCUCCCUCACAGCCAAGGUCAGUUUCUCCCCCAUGCUCAUGAUUCCCUCUCUUCUUGGAAUGAGAUCUUACUCCAUCAGUUAUCCUUGCCUCUCCAACACCUUCAACCCCCUUCUCUUUACCUUGCCUUUGGCCUAUGUUAUAGACAAAUCUCUUACCCUCAAAAAAAAGUCCCAUCUUGACCCUGUUUCCUCUUCUCAUUAUUACACUGCUUUCCUUCUUUCCUCCCCAUAUAUGUCAUAGCAGUGUUUAUUUCCAUGUUCACUCUUCAUCCUACUGCCAUUGGGCCUCCCCCUACCCCUCAGCAAUUCUCUUCCACCUCUCCUGUGAUUUUCAUCUUACUCUUCCAACUCCUUCUUGUUUUUUUCAGGGACUCUGGUUUUUUUUCUGCCUUCCUCUAAAAUUUUGAUGAUUUUCAAAUUUUCUUCUUACUGUAUAUACUCUGAGAGCUAUUCUUUUGUUUCAAGGUUUUAACUAUUGCUUGUUCACUAAUGGCUCCCUGUAGAUUUUUCUAGGAUAGUCUUCUCCUGAGGAAAAGUUUCUUGUAUUUACCUCCACUGAACAUUUACACCUGGAAUUCAUACAGGGGUUUUUUAUUUGUUUGUUUUUUUUUAAAUCUUAAUAACCCUGAGAUGGAAUCAGUCUCCUUUCACUGUUCUUUAUGUGAGCCCUUGACUUUGCCUUUUUUCUUUCUGUCCCUCACACUAUUACAACUGAGCGACCACUGAGCCCUACCAAUUGUAUUCAUUAAAUAUUUCUUGACCCUAUUAUCACUGUCUCAUUAGCUCUUGCCUGGUUUACUAUAAUAACCUUCUAGAUAAUCCCUCUGUCUCAAAAUUUUUGAUCCAUAAGUCUAUCCUUCACACUGUUAGAACAGAGUACCAAAAAUCUGUUUUGCUGCCACUCUAUUCAAACCAUAAAAUGGCACUCUUUGGCUUAGUAUAUAAACUUUCCAUUACCAUCUGAACUCAGCUACAUUUUCAGUCCUAUCUCUAGUUUAACUGUUUGUCAAUGUUUCUUUUCAUAUACCACAUUUCUUACCUUCAUGUUCUUAUUCCUCUAACUUCAUAACCUUCCCUCACACCUUCACCUAACUUCUGCUUCCUUUCUCCUCUACCCCUCAAGAUCGCCACCUCCUGGAUGGGUGAUGUUUAUGCUGGUGAUCUAGGGCCUCACAAUAUCUGCUAGAUAGUGGAGGCCAGCCAGGUGGCAAAGGUCAGAUCAAGGGCAUUGUUUUCUCACCCAAGGCAAAUGUAUUGAACAGCCUCUAGAUAGUAUCCAUUAUUUUGAGAAGGUGGGGUGGGGGAGUAAAACUCAGAAACCAGGAAACAAAAAACCAGUGAUUUCAGGUUUUAGAAUUAUGUCCAAAACAUGGGCUGUGGUUACUUGAAAAUGAAACUGAGAAGGAGCAAAAACCUACUAAGUUUUGGAAGACAUUGUAUUGUCAAAGAAUCUACAAGCUAAACUUAUAAAGAUUUAUUAUUGUUCAAGCUCUAAAUUAGAUCAUUCUGUACCAGAAGAAAUCAGACUGCAAAAGCUGGUCAGCUCUCAAGCAUACUUCAGAGGUGGCCACAGAGGACAAUAAACUAGAAAGGAACUUCCCAAAAGGCAAAGCCACGGGCUCCUCUCGGAAUGAAACAUCAGGAGCAGUCAAUGUGGCUGUAUAAGAACUCAUUCUAAGGCAGAGAACCUUGGUGGUUCUUACCCAACAGCCCUUUAUAAUCUUUAUAGACAGAUGACUGUUCCAUGUUUCCAUCUUUCCCUGUUUAAAAUUAGAGACUUUAUGACAGUUAUCCUAGUCAUAUUCCACCAUUGUAGAUUUGGCAUGUGUGUUUGGGGGGGCAGUCACAUAACUUGUCUUUUACUUUAUAGGUUCUCAGAUGCUGAAUGAGACCUACAGAGGGUGUGAGUGUGCUCUAUGUAUCAGAAGAAAUACCACAGAUAUUUGGGUAGACAAAUGGGUAUUGUGGAAGAGAGGCUUAAUUGAUCCCCAAUAUGUGUUCUCCUCAUGCAUGGUAAUGGAAUUUUAACUCUUACAAGGCCAUCCAAAAUGAAGAGUGCAUUUUGUUUCCUUAACAGCUGGUUGUGGUUAUGUGAUUUGGUUUUGGCUUUUAGAGCAGAAAUACUGUGUGCUUCCAGGAUUUUCCCUUAACGGGAUGUCCUUCUCUUACUCCCUUUGCCUUUUCUAGUUAUGGGAAGGAGCGGAUUGGGCCAUCAAUUGAACACGAGUUGGAAGCCACAUGUGAUGAAGAUUGGAGCAGUGAAAUAGAGGGAGACUUUGUGAUUGAAGCUCGUGGAGCUAGCAUGCAAGCCAAGUGGCUCACUUAGGAUCUCUUUCCAUUCCAGCACCAAACUGAUGGAUAACUAAUGUCAAUUAAAUGAAGAAAAAAUUUACAAAAAGUAUCCAGAUAAUCCGACAUGAUGAACACAACUUCAUUAUUAAACUGUAUGUUCAUUUGAGGAGCUUCUUUGUUUUUUAGUUUUUCAAAAGUAGUUACAAACUUUCCCUCAAAUGGGCAACACUGAAGCCAUACAGGCAUAGUUAUUCUCCCCUUCACCUAUGUUUAUUUUACUUGGAAGGAUGUGGAGCACAAUUGGAAGACUGAUGAAAAUGAAUUAUAAGUUUCCACUCUCCUUUCUAUGGACAUGUAUUUACUAUGCCUCAUUUGCAUUGAGAUAGUAGGUACUUACAUCAUUGCAUAUUUUGGUAAAUACUAUUUUAUAAUGGUCAAAGUCACUAAGCAAUUAAUUUCAAGUAAGCAUAAAGUAAUGAAAAGUGAACUUGAGUAAUGUAGGGAAAAGAUAGUAGUAAGCACAUUUCUGGGAGAGUUGGAACAAUGAAGCCUAAGAUUUCCUGGACAUGGAACUCUAGCAAGUUCAAAAAGCCAUCCCAUUAGACCCUGGUGGAUAUAUUACUAGAAAAAUCAGAUAUUUCUCUUCCCCUUAGCUGUGUCUUCUCUCUCCCUAGCAUGAGAGAUAAUUUUAGAUUAUACGGAUGGGCUCUAAAUGCUAUUACAUGUAUCCUUAUAAGAAAGAGGAAUGAGAAGAUUUGGCACACAGAGAAGAUGAUGUGAAGACAGAAGCAGUGAUUGGAGAAAUGUAACCAUAAACCAAAGAAUUCCAAGGAACGCUGCUAGCCACCAGAAGCUAGAAAACUAAAGGAAUGGAUUCUCCCCACAACAUCUGGGAGAACCUCCACAGAACCUGCCCACACCUUGAUUUUGAACUUCUGGCCUCUAGAACUGUGAGAGAAUAAAUUUCUGUUGUUUUAAGUUACCA